Molecule: ribosomal RNA, 260 nt
Filed under: uncultured bacterium
Lineage: Bacteria
Description: partial 16S ribosomal RNA
Rfam family: Bacterial small subunit ribosomal RNA
Source: RNAcentral
GUCCACGCCUUAAACGAUGAGAGCUAGUUGUCAGUAAGCAUGCUUAUUGGUGACGCAGCUAACGCAUUAAGCUCUCCGCCUGGGGAGUACGGCCGCAAGGUUAAAACUCAAAGAAAUUGACGGGGGCCCGCACAAGCGGUGGAGCAUGUGGUUUAAUUCGAAGCAACGCGCAGAACCUUACCCACCUUUGACAUCCCGUGCUAUCCAGAGAGAUCUGGAGUCCCUUCGGGGCGCGGUGACAGGUGCUGCAUGGCUGUCGU